Molecule: small nuclear RNA, 151 nt
Filed under: Podarcis muralis (Common wall lizard)
Lineage: Eukaryota; Metazoa; Chordata; Lepidosauria; Squamata; Lacertidae
Description: U1 spliceosomal RNA (ENSPMRG00000021790.1)
Rfam family: U1 spliceosomal RNA
About the family: U1 is a small nuclear RNA (snRNA) component of the spliceosome (involved in pre-mRNA splicing). Its 5' end forms complementary base pairs with the 5' splice junction, thus defining the 5' donor site of an intron.
Source: RNAcentral
CCAAAUGCCUGGUAGUAGAAGAUACAUUGAUCCUGAAGGAAUUUUCCUAAGUGGAGGCUCAUCCGUUGUACUCUGGGUGUGCUGAUCCCUGCAAUUUCCCUAAAUGUAAACCUGACUGUGUAAUUUGUGGUAAUUGUCAAAGUAUUAACAG